AAACGUAGUCCAACAACGAAAGAGCCCUGAAGCUCAAGCGGAGCCCGCUGGCCGCAGGGGCCGCACCACGCCCCAGACCCUGGAGUUUCCGGGUGCGCAGACCCUUGUCGUCAGCAGAGGCUGCCGCUGCGCGUCCCCUAGGCGCGGAAGAGGCGGCUGGUGGUCCCUGAUGGCAAGGUGAAGUCGAGGCAGUAAUCGGGAACCCAGGUUUUAUACAUUACGAAGGCACGUUUCCAUUUCUCCUGGGCAAAUAUUUAGAAGAAAAGUUGCUGGGUAAUUGGUGGAGACAAGGUUUCGCCACAUUGACUGGGCUGGUCUCGAACUCCUGAGCUCAAGCAACCCGCCCUCCUUGACCUCCCAAAGUGCUAGGAUUACAGAGUCACCCAGGCUGGAAUGCAGUGGCAUGGUCAUGGCUCACCGCAGUCUUAAACUCCUGGGCCCAAGCAAUCCUCCCACUCAGCCUCCUGAGUAGCUGGGACUAGAGGCACAUGCAACCACAUGCAGCUAUUUUUUUUUAAAUUUUCUGUAGAGACAGGGUCUCACUGUGUUGCUCAGUUUGUCUCAAACUCCUGGGCUCAAGUGAUCCUCCUGCCUUGGCCUCACAAAGUACUAGGAUUACAGGCAUGAGUUACCACACUCAGCUGAACUCUACUCUUUAUGUUCAGGAAAGCACUGGAGAAGAGAGAAGACAAGAGAAACAGGUCCAUGGUGACAGGAGCCUAGGAAUAGAGCAGGCCUUCAGUCUUGGUGAAAAAAUAAAUGGUAUUCUAAGCCUUCCUUUGGACAUUAA
This is a long non-coding RNA of Pan troglodytes (chimpanzee), 790 nucleotides long. RefSeq lists it as uncharacterized. The transcript is spliced from 4 exons. Lineage: Eukaryota; Metazoa; Chordata; Mammalia; Primates; Hominidae. The record is from RefSeq and is a predicted model, not a curated record.